Molecule: ribosomal RNA, 493 nt
Filed under: uncultured bacterium
Lineage: Bacteria
Description: bacterial SSU rRNA
Rfam family: Bacterial small subunit ribosomal RNA
Source: RNAcentral
GACGAACGCUGGCGGCGUGGAUUAGGCAUGCAAGUCGAACGGUAUCAUCCUUUCGGGGGUGAGAGAGUGGCGAACUGGUGAGUAACACGUAGGUUAUCUACCCUCAAGACGGGGACAACCCAGGGAAACUUGGGCUAAUACCGGAUGUGAGCAACUUUUAGUUGUUUGAAAGGUGGCGUAAGCUGUCGCUUGGGGAUGAGCCUGCGUCCUAUUAGUUAGUUGGUGAGGUAACGGCUCACCUAGGCAAUGAUAGGUAGGCGGCCUUAACGGGUGGUCGCCCACACUGGGAUUGAGAUACGGCCCAGACUCCUACGGGAGGCAGCAGUCGAGAAUAGUCUACAAUGGUCGGAAGACUGAUCCAGCCAUGCCGCGUGAAGGUUACUGUCCUAUGGAUAUUAAACUUCUUUUGUAUGAGAGCAAUAAGGUGCACGCGUGCACCGAUGAGAGUAUCAUACGAAUAAGCAUCGGCUAACUCCGUGCCAGCAGCCGCGGU